Molecule: long non-coding RNA, 1785 nt
Filed under: Macaca fascicularis (crab-eating macaque)
Lineage: Eukaryota; Metazoa; Chordata; Mammalia; Primates; Cercopithecidae
Description: lncRNA (ENSMFAG00000048209.1)
Source: RNAcentral
CGAGACAGCACCACCUGCUUUCCAAGGCCUGGCCACUAGGCCAAGGUUUGGCUUAAGUGAGAGGGCCAGGCUGUCCCUACCCAUGUUUUAGCUCAAGGGACACAACCUUUCCUGCUAUAAACCUUUUUUUUUUGUCUACCUGGGAAAGGCUGUAGCUGCACAGAGCGAGGCUGGAGACUCGGGCUUGGUGCAGGACAUGGAUGAUCUGAAUCGCUGAACAGAAUAGACUGUGGUGGAGGCUGAGCAGGAGACCAGGAAGGGCUGCGGUGUGAUCCUCCUCCGAGAGCAGCCAGGUAGGGAUGUGACGGGAGCAGGCAGGCAGGCAGAGUGCAGGAAUUGGUCCGUGUAGACAGCAGAGGGACAGAGGUGCUGAGCGGUCAGAAGGUGGGUGCCAGGGGAGGAGUGGAGCUGGCCAUGUCUCUCUGAGCACCUGGGGAGGAAGAGCCACCAUCACGGAGGUGGGGGUGCAGGGAGAAGGCGGUGAGGAAAACCCACAACGAUUUGAGAUGGAGAGAGCCCAACCACAGCUGAAUGCAUGAACCUGGACAUCAGUUAAAGGUCUGAGCUGGGCACAGAAAUAGGCAUUUAAAAAUAAAAAUGAAAGUCUACUCCUGAUGUCACAGGCAAAUCAGAUCAAAAUUCCCAAAGCAUGACACAUGAUACUUUUCAUCAACCAUGGAACCCCUCAAUCUGAGGAAUGUAUGGGCUUGAUGAUGAAAACUUGGAACCAGAUAGGAACUCCUGCUGUUGGAGCUGGACCACCUGGAUUCCCCACCAUAGCCCCCACACCAACCCAUUGCUCUUGCCUGGGCCUAGGGUCUCCAGAAGCAGAGAUUGAGAUAGAGUUUUCAGUUGAAGUUGUUUUUAGGUAUCAACCCUUGUGAAAGGAAGCUGGGGGCAAGCCAGGCCGGGGGAGACGUUGACAAUGGUAAAGGUGGUUCCAGCUGCCAGCUGGAGGUUGUCUGCUGACCAUAUGCCACCAUAGCCCAACAGCAAAUCCUUCCUUGAAGGGAGACCCAUGUGUUGCUCUUUGUGUCUUCCUCUCUGCAUCUGCUCAUGCUGGUCCCUUUAGCUGGAAUGUCCUCCACACAGCCAAAGCCAACUCAUCCCACAAGAACCGCUUAGCUGACUCCUGCCACUCCUGCAAACCCAUGUCACCAGUUCCCCAUGAGCCUCCCACCCAGCCAUAACAUCUCCCCUCUCAGAACUCCCAGAGUGUUCCAGCGAUAUUACUCUCCCAUUUUGUAGAUUAUAGUUUUUUGUAUAAAGGAAUUCACAUGGUCCAAAUCUUUAUGAAUGAAGUCCCCACAGUUAUUACAAAGUUACGUAGAGAGAUGAAGCCAUCACAAUCCAAAAGAGUUCACUAAUGAACUGACCACUUAUAACAUUCAUCUCCAAAAUCCACCUCUGCAGUCACAGCUGCACUUGUCUCCCCUGUGCCAACCCCAACAGGUCCUCAGAGGCAGCCUUCCUGAGGGUGACACGAAAACAUCUGUGCACAUAAUGCAAGUAAAUGAAAAACAGUGCCAAGUGGAAAUGCAAAUCUUGCAAAGAGUAUGGGAUUUUGUGAAUUUCAUGGAAGUGAAAUUGGUGAGAACAGCUCAUGAAGCCAUGGGCACAUGAAGACAUGGCAAUUAGACCAGUUAAUGACACACUACCUGAUGGGUACUUAAAAGGAGAAUUAUUUGUGUACAAAAGAAUUGAGUCCUUUGGGGGAAUGAAUGAGCUCUGAAAUACUUUGCAAAACUGAAUUACUUUUAUAGAGUUGUGAACGUUAAACACGAA